Molecule: ribosomal RNA, 274 nt
Filed under: uncultured bacterium
Lineage: Bacteria
Description: partial 16S ribosomal RNA
Rfam family: Bacterial small subunit ribosomal RNA
Source: RNAcentral
AUACGGAGGGGGUUAGCGUUGUUCGGAAUUACUGGGCGUAAAGCGCACGUAGGCGGAUUAAAAAGUUAGAGGUGAAAUCCCAGGGCUCAACCCUGGAACUGCCUUUAAAACUAGUAGUCUAGAGUUCGAGAGAGGUGAGUGGAAUUCCAAGUGUAGAGGUGAAAUUCGUAGAUAUUUGGAGGAACACCAGUGGCGAAGGCGGCUCACUGGCUCGAUACUGACGCUGAGGUGCGAAAGCGUGGGGAGCAAACAGGAUUAGAAACCCGGGUAGUCC